UGCAUGUCUAAGUAUAAACGCUUCUAUACUGUGAAACUGCGAAUGGCUCAUUAAAUCAGUUAUAGUUUAUUUGAUGGUUCCUUGCUACUUGGAUAACCGUAGUAAUUCUAGAGCUAAUACAUGCAGAAAGUCCCGACCUCUGGAAGGGAUGUAUUUAUUAGAUCCAAAACCGGCGCAGGUCCUCCGGGGCCUGGUUGCUUGGUGAUUCAUGAUAACUGCUCGAACCGUAUGGCCUCUCGUGCCGACGGUGCUUCAUUCAAAUUUCUGCCCUAUCAACUUUCGAUGGUACGGUAGUGGCCUACCAUGGUUGCAACGGGUGACGGAGAAUUAGGGUUCGGUUCCGGAGAGGGAGCCUGAGAAACGGCUACCACAUCCAAGGAAGGCAGCAGGCGCGCAAAUUACCCAAUCCCGACUCGGGGAGGUAGUGACAAUAAAUAACAAUGCCGGGCUAUCGUAGUCUGGCAAUUGGAAUGAGUACAAUCUAAAUCCCUUAACGAGGAACAAUUGGAGGGCAAGUCUGGUGCCAGCAGCCGCGGUAAUUCCAGCUCCAAUAGCGUAUAUUAAAGUUGUUGCAGUUAAAAAGCUCGUAGUUGGAUUUCGGGGCGGCCUGGUUGGUCCGUCGCAAGGCGAGUACUGGUCAGCCGCCCUUCCUCUCGAAAGCCCCGACUGCUCUUCAUUGCAGUGGUCGGGUAGUUCGGGACGUUUACUUUGAAAAAAUUAGAGUGUUCAAGGCAGGCUUACGCCUGAAUACAUUAGCAUGGAAUAAUGGAAGAGGACCUCGGUCCUAUUUUGUUGGUUUCUGGGGCCGAAGUAAUGAUUAAGAGGGACAGUUGGGGGCAUUCGUAUUUAAUUGUCAGAGGUGAAAUUCUCGGAUUUAUGAAAGACGAACAACUGCGAAAGCAUUUGCCAAGGAUGUUUUCAUUAAUCAAGAACGAAAGUUAGGGGUUC
This 948-nucleotide ribosomal RNA is filed under the name Monanchora arbuscula. RNAcentral's name for it is "SSU rRNA". It matches the Rfam family "Eukaryotic small subunit ribosomal RNA", at positions 52 to 999 of the family's 1831-position model. The record is from RNAcentral. Lineage: Eukaryota; Metazoa; Porifera; Demospongiae; Poecilosclerida; Crambeidae.